Molecule: ribosomal RNA, 2881 nt
Filed under: Burkholderia multivorans
Lineage: Bacteria; Pseudomonadati; Pseudomonadota; Betaproteobacteria; Burkholderiales; Burkholderiaceae
Description: 23S ribosomal RNA
Rfam family: Bacterial large subunit ribosomal RNA
Source: RNAcentral
GGUCAAGCGAACAAGUGCAUGUGGUGGAUGCCUUGGCGAUCACAGGCGAUGAAGGACGCGGUAGCCUGCGAAAAGCCCCGGGGAGCUGGCAAACAAGCUUUGAUCCGGGGAUGUCCGAAUGGGGAAACCCACUCCGUAUGGAGUAUCCAUGACUGAAUACAUAGGUCAUGUGAAGCGAACGCGGUGAACUGAAACAUCUAAGUAACCGCAGGAAAAGAAAUCAACCGAGAUUCCCAAAGUAGUGGCGAGCGAAAUGGGAUGAGCCUUGUACUCUUUAUUUGUAUUGUUAGCCGAACGCUCUGGAAAGUGCGGCCAUAGCAGGUGAUAGCCCUGUAGGCGAAAACAGUAUGAAAGAACUAGGUGUACGACAAGUAGGGCGGGACACGUGAAAUCCUGUCUGAAGAUGGGGGGACCAUCCUCCAAGGCUAAAUACUCGUGAUCGACCGAUAGUGAACCAGUACCGUGAGGGAAAGGCGAAAAGAACCCCGGGAGGGGAGUGAAAUAGAUCCUGAAACCGCAUGCAUACAAACAGUCGGAGCCUCGUAAGGGGUGACGGCGUACCUUUUGUAUAAUGGGUCAGCGACUUACGUUCAGUAGCAAGCUUAACCGUAUAGGGCAGGCGUAGCGAAAGCGAGUCCGAAUAGGGCGUUCAGUUGCUGGGCGUAGACCCGAAACCAGGUGAUCUAUCCAUGGCCAGGAUGAAGGUGCGGUAACACGUACUGGAGGUCCGAACCCACUAACGUUGAAAAGUUAGGGGAUGAGCUGUGGAUAGGGGUGAAAGGCUAAACAAACCUGGAAAUAGCUGGUUCUCUCCGAAAACUAUUUAGGUAGUGCCUCGUGUCUCACCUUCGGGGGUAGAGCACUGUCAUGGUUGGGGGGUCUAUUGCAGAUUACCCCGCCAUAGCAAACUCCGAAUACCGAAGAGUGCAAUCACGGGAGACAGACAUCGGGUGCUAACGUCCGGUGUCAAGAGGGAAACAACCCAGACCGCCAGCUAAGGUCCCCAAAUAUGGCUAAGUGGGAAACGAAGUGGGAAGGCUAAAACAGUCAGGAGGUUGGCUUAGAAGCAGCCACCCUUUAAAGAAAGCGUAAUAGCUCACUGAUCGAGUCGUCCUGCGCGGAAGAUGUAACGGGGCUAAGCCAUAUACCGAAGCUGCGGAUGCGAGCUUGCUCGCAUGGUAGGAGAGCGUUCCGUAAGCCUGCGAAGGUGCCUUGUAAAGGGUGCUGGAGGUAUCGGAAGUGCGAAUGCUGACAUGAGUAGCGAUAAAGGGGGUGAAAGGCCCCCUCGCCGUAAGCCCAAGGUUUCCUACGCAACGUUCAUCGGCGUAGGGUGAGUCGGCCCCUAAGGCGAGGCAGAAAUGCGUAGCUGAUGGGAAGCAGGUCAAUAUUCCUGCACCGUCGUUAGAUGCGAUGGGGGGACGGAUCGCGGAAGGUUGUCCGGGUGUUGGACGUCCCGGUCGCUGCAUUGGAGAAGGCGCUUAGGCAAAUCCGGGCGCGGAAUUCAAGGGUGUGGCGCGAGCGACUUCGGUCGCGAAGCAAUUGGAAGUGGUUCCAAGAAAAGCCUCUAAGCUUCAGUCUAACGAUGACCGUACCGCAAACCGACACAGGUGGGCGAGAUGAGUAUUCUAAGGCGCUUGAGAGAACUCGGGAGAAGGAACUCGGCAAAUUGGUACCGUAACUUCGGGAUAAGGUACGCCCUUGUAGCUUGACUGGCCUGCGCCAGAAGGGUGAAGGGGUUGCAAUAAACUGGUGGCUGCGACUGUUUAAUAAAAACACAGCACUCUGCAAACACGAAAGUGGACGUAUAGGGUGUGACGCCUGCCCGGUGCCGGAAGAUUAAAUGAUGGGGUGCAAGCUCUUGAUUGAAGUCCCGGUAAACGGCGGCCGUAACUAUAACGGUCCUAAGGUAGCGAAAUUCCUUGUCGGGUAAGUUCCGACCUGCACGAAUGGCGUAACGAUGGCCACACUGUCUCCUCCCGAGACUCAGCGAAGUUGAAGUGUUUGUGAUGAUGCAAUCUACCCGCGGCUAGACGGAAAGACCCCAUGAACCUUUACUGUAGCUUUGCAUUGGACUUUGAACCGAUCUGUGUAGGAUAGGUGGGAGGCUAUGAAACCGGAACGCUAGUUUCGGUGGAGCCGUCCUUGAAAUACCACCCUGGUUUGUUUGAGGUUCUAACCUUGGUCCGUGAUCCGGAUCGGGGACAGUGCAUGGUAGGCAGUUUGACUGGGGCGGUCUCCUCCCAAAGGGUAACGGAGGAGUACGAAGGUACGCUAGGUACGGUCGGAAAUCGUGCUGAUAGUGCAAUGGCAUAAGCGUGCUUAACUGCGAGACCGACAAGUCGAGCAGGUGCGAAAGCAGGUCAUAGUGAUCCGGUGGUUCUGUAUGGAAGGGCCAUCGCUCAACGGAUAAAAGGUACUCUGGGGAUAACAGGCUGAUACCGCCCAAGAGUUCAUAUCGACGGCGGUGUUUGGCACCUCGAUGUCGGCUCAUCUCAUCCUGGGGCUGUAGCCGGUCCCAAGGGUAUGGCUGUUCGCCAUUUAAAGAGGUACGUGAGCUGGGUUUAAAACGUCGUGAGACAGUUUGGUCCCUAUCUGCCGUGGGCGUUGGAUAUUUGAAGGGGGCUGCUCCUAGUACGAGAGGACCGGAGUGGACGAACCUCUGGUGUACCGGUUGUGACGCCAGUCGCAUCGCCGGGUAGCUAUGUUCGGAAGAGAUAACCGCUGAAAGCAUCUAAGCGGGAAACUCGCCUUAAGAUGAGAUAUCCCUGGAGGCUUGACCUCCUUGAAGGGUCGUUCGAGACCAGGACGUUGAUAGGUCGGGUGUGUAAGCGCAGUAAUGCGUUCAGCUAACCGAUACUAAUUGCCCGUAAGGCUUGAUCCU